GGCCCCGUGGUCUAGUGGAGAAGACACCCCCGUGACGCAGGGAGAAACGCGGGUUCGAAUCCCGCCGGGGCCA
This 73-nucleotide transfer RNA is filed under the name Hadesarchaea archaeon DG-33. Its description in RNAcentral is "tRNA-Val". It matches the Rfam family "tRNA". From Rfam's summary of the family: Transfer RNA (tRNA) molecules are approximately 80 nucleotides in length. Their secondary structure includes four short double-helical elements and three loops (D, anti-codon, and T loops). RNAcentral also lists the same sequence under 1 other name. The record is from RNAcentral. Lineage: Archaea; Methanobacteriati; Hadarchaeota (SeqCode); Hadarchaeia (SeqCode).